Molecule: transfer RNA, 62 nt
Filed under: candidate division WWE3 bacterium RIFCSPLOWO2_01_FULL_42_11
Lineage: Bacteria; candidate division WWE3
Description: tRNA-Trp
Rfam family: tRNA
About the family: Transfer RNA (tRNA) molecules are approximately 80 nucleotides in length. Their secondary structure includes four short double-helical elements and three loops (D, anti-codon, and T loops).
Source: RNAcentral
GGGGUGUAGUUAAAUGGUAUAACGGUGGUCUCCAAAACCACUAUUGCGGGUUCGAUUCCCUC